This 397-nucleotide ribosomal RNA is filed under the name uncultured bacterium. RNAcentral's name for it is "partial 16S ribosomal RNA". It matches the Rfam family "Bacterial small subunit ribosomal RNA", at positions 523 to 918 of the family's 1533-position model. The record is from RNAcentral.
AUACGUAGGUGACAAGCGUUAUCCGGAUUUACUGGGCGUAAAGGGCGUGUAGGCGGUCUUGCAAGUCAGAAGUGAAAUUCCUGAGCUCAACUCGGGCGCUGCUUCUGAAACUGCAGGACUUGAGUGCUGGAGGGGAUAGCGGAAUUCCUAGUGGAGCGGUAAAAUGCGCAGAUAUUAGGAAGAACACCGGUGGCGAAGGCGGCUAUCUGGACAGAAACUGACGCUGAGGCGCGAAAGCGUGGGGAGAAAACAGGAUUAGAUCCCCUGGUAGUCCACGCUGUAAACGAUGAAUACUAGGUGUAGGGGGUAUCGACUCCCUCUGUGCCGCAGUUAACACAAUAAGUAUUCCGCCUGGGGAGUACGGCCGCAAGGUUGAAACUCAAAUGAAUUGACGGGG